UAAAAAAAAAAAAAUCCGUAUCUGAUGCUUUUCUGGAUAAUUGACAAUGUGCUAAUGAGUUGCAUAUUGAAAUACCCCAUGAAAAUUCUGUCAACUGACAGUUCAUGGGUCUCAGCCAGUAUGUCUUCUGCCAUAUCCAUAUGAUUUGCAUUUAUUCUUUACCACCAAACCACAUAUUUGGGGAAGUCAAAUGAUUGGAUUACUGGAUGAUCCUUAAGUUCUAAAUGUUGGAUCAGUUGGUCAAGUGCG
Molecule: unclassified non-coding RNA, 249 nt
Filed under: Hevea brasiliensis (rubber tree)
Lineage: Eukaryota; Viridiplantae; Streptophyta; Magnoliopsida; Malpighiales; Euphorbiaceae
Source: RNAcentral